RNAcentral lists this ribosomal RNA (238 nucleotides) under uncultured bacterium. Its description in RNAcentral is "partial 16S ribosomal RNA". It matches the Rfam family "Bacterial small subunit ribosomal RNA", at positions 539 to 776 of the family's 1533-position model. The record is from RNAcentral.
CGUUGUCCGGAUUUAUUGGGCGUAAAGAGCGUGUAGGCGGCUUUACAGGUCCGUUGUGAAAACUCGAGGCUCAACCUCGAGACGCCGGUGGAAACCGUAAAGCUAGAGUCCGGAAGAGGAGAGUGGAAUUCCUGGUGUAGCGGUGAAAUGCGCAGAUAUCAGGAGGAACACCCGUGGCGAAAGCGGCUCUCUGGGACGGUACUGACGCUGAGACGCGAAAGCGUGGGGAGCAAACAGG